Molecule: ribosomal RNA, 235 nt
Filed under: uncultured bacterium
Lineage: Bacteria
Description: partial 16S ribosomal RNA
Rfam family: Bacterial small subunit ribosomal RNA
Source: RNAcentral
CGGGACGGGUGAGUAAUGUCUGGGGAAACUGCCUGAUGGAGGGGGGUAACUACUGGAAACGGUAGCUAAUACCGCAUAACGUCGCAAGACCAAAGGGGGGGACCUUCGGGCCCUCUUGCCAUCGGAUGUGCCCAGAUGGGAUUAGCUAGUAGGUGGGGUAACGGCUCACCUAGGCGACGAUCCCUAGCUGGUCUGAGAGGAUGACCAGCCACACUGGAACUGAGACACGGUCCAG